Molecule: ribosomal RNA, 492 nt
Filed under: uncultured bacterium
Lineage: Bacteria
Description: partial 16S ribosomal RNA
Rfam family: Bacterial small subunit ribosomal RNA
Source: RNAcentral
AGUGAACGCUGGCGGUAGGCCUAACACAUGCAAGUCGAACGGGAGCACAGUAAGAGCUUGCUCUUACGGGUGGCGAGUGGCGGACGGGUGAGGAAUACAUCGGAAUCUACUUUUUCGUGGGGGAUAACGUAGGGAAACUUACGCUAAUACCGCAUACGACCUACGGGUGAAAGCAGUGGAUCUUCGGACCUUGCGCGAUUGAAUGAGCCGAUGUCGGAUUAGCUAGUUGGCGGGGUAAAGGCCCACCAAGGCGACGAUCCGUAGCUGGUCUGAGAGGAUGAUCAGCCACACUGGAACUGAGACACGGUCCAGACUCCUACGGGAGGCAGCAGUGGGGAAUAUUGGACAAUGGGCGCAAGCCUGAUCCAGCCAUACCGCGUGGGUGAAGAAGGCCUUCGGGUUGUAAAGCCCUUUUGUUGGGAAAGAAAAGCAGCAGGUUAAUACCCCGCUGUUCUGACGGUACCCAAAGAAUAAGCACCGGCUAACUUCGUG